CAUUUUAAUAUCAAUUUAAACCAUUUUACAAAACAUAAAAAAAUAGAAGUUUAGAUUAAAGAUUCUUUGUUUACACUUAAAUCAAAUCUUUACAAUAAAAAUAAAAUACAAAAAAAAUACAAGUUUUUUGUAUUGUGAAUUUCUACAAACUAAAAAAAAUGAGUAAAAAAGGAAAAUAAGGAUCAACUUUGUGCAUCAUGUGAGCUUUCA
RNAcentral lists this long non-coding RNA (210 nucleotides) under Lathyrus oleraceus (garden pea). RNAcentral describes it as "Pisum sativum (pea) long non-coding RNA (PSAT_LNC031096)". The record is from RNAcentral. Lineage: Eukaryota; Viridiplantae; Streptophyta; Magnoliopsida; Fabales; Fabaceae.